GACGAACGCUGGCGGCGUGCUUAACACAUGCAAGUCGAACGGAAAGGCCCCUUUGGGGGUACUCGAGUGGCGAACGGGUGAGUAACACGUGAGUAACCUGCCCUUGACUUCGGGAUAACUUCAGGAAACUGGGGCUAAUACCGGAUAGGAAUCCUUGCUGCAUGGUGGGGGUUGGAAAGCUUCGGCGGUUUUGGAUGGACUCGCGGCUUAUCAGCUUGUUGGUGGGGUAGUGGCUUACCAAGGCUUUGACGGGUAGCCGGCCUGAGAGGGCGACCGCCACAUUGGGACUGAGAUACGGCCCAGACUCCUACGGGAGGCAGCAGUGGGGAAUAUUGCACAAUGGGCGGAAGCCUGAUGCAGCAACGCCGCGUGCGGGAUGACGGCCUUCGGGUUGUAAACCGCUUUCAGCAGGGGCGAAGCUUGUGGUGACGGUACCUGCAGAAGAAGCACCGGCUAACUACGUG
Molecule: ribosomal RNA, 464 nt
Filed under: uncultured bacterium
Lineage: Bacteria
Description: partial 16S ribosomal RNA
Rfam family: Bacterial small subunit ribosomal RNA
Source: RNAcentral